Cavia porcellus (domestic guinea pig) is the source of this 1494-nucleotide long non-coding RNA. RefSeq lists it as uncharacterized. The record is from RefSeq and is a predicted model, not a curated record. NCBI's taxonomy places the organism in Eukaryota, Metazoa, Chordata, Mammalia, Rodentia, Caviidae. The transcript is spliced from 7 exons.
UACAUAGCCUCAUUUACUGCUGUUAUAAUUACUAGCUGUGGUAACAACACUAGUUAUAGUGUCCACAACUACCAUGUCCAUGAACUUCCUCUCAAUAAAAUGGCUUCAGAAGAUUGGCUCGGAGAAUGUGUGCUCCAGAGAGAAACUGUUCCUCUUCCCUGCAUCCUGCCUCCUUGCCCUCUCUUCCUCCUGUCUCUAGUGAGAGCUUCCCCACUCUGCAGGCAUAUGGUAGCUGGGUGAUGUACAGCUUGAUCUUUUCUCUCUACUUCCAGAGGACAUGUGUAUGACCUCCUCUCCCUCUUGUGCAGGACCUGAUGUGACUCCGAGUGAUGGCCACUGUGCCCUGAGGAACCCACAGGAACAAUGUUUGACCUGUAUUUUAUUCUAAAAAUGGUGACCUCUUUACCCUGUUCCAUGUUUGGAAAUGCAGGCUUCAGUGCACUGAUGAAGAAAGUGAAACUCAGAGGCUGAAUAAGGUCUGAGCAUACUAGGAUCUUCCUGUUGGGACUCAGCUCUCCAGGCUCACCGGCAGUCUUUGACACAUACAGGGAAUCUGAAGACUUCUCAUAAAGGGAGAGAAGCUGAACAUUGCACAUAUCUCUCCUCUCCACUGCUCCUGAUUGUAUAACAUCUGUUCAGCAACAAAAGGUAGACCUCAGACUAGUGCAUGCAAGCAUGGCAUGCCAAAUUUCUGCUCACAAUAAGAGAACUUUCUGAAGUACAUGUUUAUUCAGUGUGCAAGCACUUAAAAUGAAGUUUAUAAUUUUGUUCAUGUCCAAGUCAUUCGUGAAUAACAAAACCAUGUACACUUUGUGCCAACGCUGACAGAAUUUCCCUCGUGGCCAACUGAAAACCCGAACAAAGCUUCUGCUGGUCACUGACAUCGCAGUGGUCUCCAGGCGGUCAGUCUCACGAAGUCCUGAGGCCUGUCCUCAGGCGCUGGCCAGGAACCUGGCGUCCACACUCUCCACGCCUGCAGGCUGCUCCUCUGGGCAAAGCCUAAGCUCGAGUUGUCAAAGCAGUGAACUGGAUAGGAUGCCGAAAAAACCACUGAGGCCUAGGCGAGUCCUUUGGCGCGGGAUCCUGUACAUUGGGUUCCCUGCCCUGAGCAGGGAUGUUGGGGCUCUUCUAGGAUAGGUUCCAGACACCUGAGCAGGUGAAGUCGGCAAAUUCUCCUCGGUUACUUCUCCGUGAGCCUCUCUGUUGAGGAUUCCCUGCUUCCAGGCUUUGACCUCAUUGGAAAGUUGCUGGUUAUUGCUCAGCAACUCGCUGUGCUGCUCAGCCUGGCCACCUCCUCGUGCAGCCCAGGUCCUUGAUCUUCAGGACCAGCUCUGCGUUCUGCUAACCCCAGGCUCUGUGAUCAUCCAGACUCUACAGUGGGUGAUGAACAUGACUCUGGCCAUCUUUCCUGCACAGACAUGAACAUGGUCACCUUUUCCUGAAUUUUCGAGUGAACUAAGUUUAUGAAUAAAGAUACCACUGUGUUUAAUCUCA